Molecule: long non-coding RNA, 1286 nt
Filed under: Equus caballus (horse)
Lineage: Eukaryota; Metazoa; Chordata; Mammalia; Perissodactyla; Equidae
Description: lncRNA (ENSECAG00000052110.1)
Source: RNAcentral
GGGCACACAUAGAGGAAAGACCACGUGAGGACACAGGAGCUGGUGGCCGUCUGCAUGCUAGGGAGAGAGGCCUCAGGAGAAACCAACCCUGUGGACACCUUGAUGUCAGACCUCCAGCCUCCAGAACCAUGAGAGAGAAAUUUCCAUUGUUUACAAGCUCCCCGGUUGAUGUAUUUUGUAGGGCAGCUCUAGAAAAGUAGCACAUUACCCAAAGACAGGUGUUGGCCCUCAUUUUUGCUUUUGGGAGAGUGAUUCUCACGAUUUAGGCAGACAGAGAAAAGUUUCCUUUUAAACCUAGUGCCUGGAACAGAGUAAGUGCACCGAAAGUGGUAAUUGUCAGUUUUGUUAUUGUAGUCCCUGCUGCUAUCGUUUCUGUUGCCGCUGGUUGUCACACUGUUGCUGUUGUGUUCAUUGUUGAGAGGACGGGUUGCUCAGACCCUCUAGGCCCCAGAAGGUUAAGAGACCCUCAAGAAAAAGGCAAAAGUAACUAUUUGUUCUCCACACACAGAUUUUUUUAAACUUAGAAUUCCAUUGAUAAAAUUGAAGAUGAUUUGGUUGAAUUCAAAGCCGAGGCUGAGAAUAAUUAAAAUGGGAAAGCAUUAAAAAAUGGUGAAGGCAAGAUUAAAAUUGUGGAAAAAGGUGAGAAAGAAAGCCGAUAAAGCCAAUAGUAGUGGAGCAAAUAAGGAAUAAAAUCACUUUAGGCAAAGAAAACUCCUUUCUUUCAGUGUAAUAAAGCACUGUUGGCCUUCUGAGUCACUGGAUUACGUGGACUUCUGCUGGCUGCCUCAAAAUCUUGCCGUCAUUUUUACAUUGUUCUAUGGGAAAAUCGUUUUGCAUUCUAAAUAAAAUUCCAAGUGAAUUUUGGAUUACAACAUGUCUUUAAAUUAGGCCAGCCGCUUUCUAGUUUGGAAAGGAGGCCGUGGUUCCUGCCAACACCCAGAUUGGUAUAUCACAUCCCAUAGGAAGAAAAAAUAAAAAUAAACUGUCACAUCACAACAGAGUAGAAAUUCAUUCCCUGCCUUGUAAAUGUGUUCUAGGCAUGGAAGGCUAACUUCGCCCCUGUUAAAUCCGACUUUAUUCGUGAACUUUCCUCUUUAAUUUUUGUGUAUUCCAAAGUUUCUGCAACAACAUAUUUCAUUUUUUGCAAUCAGAGAAACAAUAUAACAAAUACCUUUUUCAAAAAGAGAAAUACUCUGGAGUUUCCUUUCAAGAGAUUUUUUAAAAAAUCAUUGAAGCUGAAAAACCUCCAUUUGAUUCUAAGAUUUCUUUUUCUUUUUCUUUUCUUU